RNAcentral lists this ribosomal RNA (465 nucleotides) under uncultured bacterium. RNAcentral describes it as "partial 16S ribosomal RNA". It matches the Rfam family "Bacterial small subunit ribosomal RNA", at positions 28 to 507 of the family's 1533-position model. The record is from RNAcentral.
GACGAACGCUGGCGGCGUGCUUAACACAUGCAAGUCGAACGGAAAGGCCCCUUUGGGGGUCCUCGAGUGGCGAACGGGUGAGUAACACGUGAGUAACCUGCCCUUGACUUCGGGAUAACUUCAGGAAACUGGGGCUAAUACCGGAUAGGAAUCCUUGCUGCAUGGUGGGGGUUGGAAAGCUUCGGCGGUUUUGGAUGGACUCGCGGCUUAUCGGCUUGUUGGUGGGGUAGUGGCUUACCAAGGCUUUGACGGGUAGCCGGCCUGAGAGGGCGACCGGCCACAGUGGGACUGAGAGACGGCCCAGACUCCUACGGGAGGCAGCAGUGGGGAAUAUUGCACAAUGGGCGGAAGCCUGAUGCAGCAACGCCGCGUGCGGGAUGACGGACUUAGGGUUGUAAACCGCUUUCAGCAGGGGCGAAGCUUGUGGUGACGGUACCUGCAGAAGAAGCACCGGCUAACUACGUG